Long non-coding RNA from Sinocyclocheilus rhinocerous, 261 nucleotides. RefSeq lists it as uncharacterized. The transcript has 3 exons. NCBI's taxonomy places the organism in Eukaryota, Metazoa, Chordata, Actinopteri, Cypriniformes, Cyprinidae. The record is from RefSeq and is a predicted model, not a curated record.
UGCAGCUGGGCACGCUAAAUAUAAUUAGACCGUUCUGCAUACUGUGACAACUUCUGCUGAAACCCAUCCCUAAAACCCGCUCAUUAUAUGUGUGUGGCAUCCUUUGGGUACGGCAAAGCACUGGUCUAAUUGUCACAUCAAUUUACACCGUUUUCAAGGAAAGUCAGAGGAUCUGGAAAUGAAGAAACAACCAUCUGCAGCAAACGAUGCAAGAUUGCACUAUUGCGCAUCAAAAGAGCGCCAGGCUGAAAAAAAAACCCG